Molecule: unclassified non-coding RNA, 323 nt
Filed under: uncultured fungus
Lineage: Eukaryota; Fungi
Description: partial contains small subunit ribosomal RNA, internal transcribed spacer 1, and 5.8S ribosomal RNA
Rfam family: Eukaryotic small subunit ribosomal RNA (bases 1-73)
Source: RNAcentral
GCAAACUUGGUCAUUUAGAGGAAGUAAAAGUCGUAACAAGGUUUCCGUAGGUGAACCUGCGGAAGGAUCAUUAACAAAAAAAUUUUUGGGCCAUUUUUUAUGGCUUCAAAAAAAAAAAUACACACACUCACCCUUUGUGCAAUCACUGAGAAAAAGUUAAUCUUUGGGAGACGAGUUUCUUUUUUUGAUCUCAUCUCCCAAAGGUGUUUGUAUAAAACUUUUUUCUAUUACAUAUUUGUCUUAAGAGAUAUAAUAAAUUAAUAAAUAAUGAAACAACUUUCAACAACGGAUCUCUUGGCUCUCGCAUCGAUGAAGAACGCAGC